AAGGAUCAUUACCGAGUGAGGGCCCUCUGGGUCCAACCUCCCACCCGUGUUUAUUUUACCUUGUUGCUUCGGCGGGCCCGCCUUAACUGGCCGCCGGGGGGCUUACGCCCCCGGGCCCGCGCCCGCCGAAGACACCCUCGAACUCUGUCUGAAGAUUGUAGUCUGAGUGAAAAUAUAAAUUAUUUAAAACUUUCAACAACGGAUCUCUUGGUUCCGGCAUCGAUGAAGAACGCAGCGAAAUGCGAUACGUAAUGUGAAUUGCAAAUUCAGUGAAUCAUCGAGUCUUUGAACGCACAUUGCGCCCCCUGGUAUUCCGGGGGGCAUGCCUGUCCGAGCGUCAUUGCUGCCCUCAAGCACGGCUUGUGUGUUGGGCCCCGUCCUCCGAUCCCGGGGGACGGGCCCGAAAGGCAGCGGCGGCACCGCGUCCGGUCCUCGAGCGUAUGGGGCUUUGUCACCCGCUCUGUAGGCCCGGCCGGCGCUUGCCGAUCAACCCGAAUUUUUAUCCAGGUUGACCUCGGAUCAGGUAGGGAUACCCGCUGAACUUAA
Molecule: ribosomal RNA, 546 nt
Filed under: Penicillium chrysogenum
Lineage: Eukaryota; Fungi; Ascomycota; Eurotiomycetes; Eurotiales; Aspergillaceae
Description: eukaryotic LSU rRNA
Rfam family: 5.8S ribosomal RNA (bases 188-340)
Source: RNAcentral